Molecule: ribosomal RNA, 253 nt
Filed under: uncultured bacterium
Lineage: Bacteria
Description: partial 16S ribosomal RNA
Rfam family: Bacterial small subunit ribosomal RNA
Source: RNAcentral
UACGAAGGGGGCUAGCGUUGCUCGGAAUUACUGGGCGUAAAGGGCGCGCAGGCGGCUUGGCAAGUCGAGUGUGAAAUACCUCAGCUUAACUGAGGAACGGCGCUCGAAACUACCUCGCUUGAGGGCGGGAGAGGGAAGUGGAACUCUCGGUGUAGGGGUGAAAUCUGUAGAUAUCGAGAGGAACACCGGUGGCGAAGGCGGCUUCCUGGCCCGUACCUGACGCUGAGGCGCGAAAGCGUGGGGAGCAAACAGG